UUUUUUACUUAUGAUGGGUUAAUCGAGAUGUAACUCCAUCAUAAGCUCCUGAGGAGGUUGUCCCUGGAGGGAUAAGGUGGAGAGUAUAAAGACCAGUAAAAUAAAAAAGACAGGAAUAGAACUUUCCAGGCAAAAGGAGGUAAUAAAUAGAAUCACCAUGGCAAAUCCGGAACAACUAAGAGAUGCUUUUAAAGGCAAGACUGCCUUCUCCAGAAGCUCAUUCUUCAAGUCCCCUCCCCAUGCAAGCAAAGACAGGCAGGCGCUGUGAAAGUUACAUGGCAUGACAUCCUCUCAAACGCUACCUGACAGACUGCUGCAAUCACCCUGUGAAUGCUUGUUGUGAGGACAAACUGAGAUGAGGUUUGUGAAGUGUAAAGCACAGAAAAUGCUCAACGUCUCUCUCUGGAUGUCCAGCAGUUACUUCAAAUGCAUCCCCCAAGGCAGUUCAUCUUCCAUGUAACCAUAAUAAUCACAAUAAAAAGCCACUGGGAGCUGU
This is a non-coding RNA of Macaca mulatta (Rhesus monkey), 496 nucleotides long. NCBI's taxonomy places the organism in Eukaryota, Metazoa, Chordata, Mammalia, Primates, Cercopithecidae. The record is from RefSeq and is a predicted model, not a curated record.